AUUGGAAUCUAUGUGGGCUAAUUUGAAACCUUUUUUUUAGAUUUUUUUUAAUGGUAAUGUAGAGAAAAAUGCUUUCAUUAGUUGCCUCGAACUUGAGCAAUUGUGUUGGAAUAAGGUUUUUGAAUUAAUCAUUUAUAUACACAUCAUAAAUAUGCGUCAAAAUAUAUAAUAGUUAGGGAUUAAAUGAAUGGGACUGCUUGCGAAAAAGCGUCUUGUUCUGGAAGCUUCACGAAUGCACCCAGAAGCCACUCCAACCUUGGAGAACUUUCUUCAGAGCGAACUACCGCAUACGUCACCAAGAGGAGGACGCUGAUUGGUCAGAAUGUACCAGAACCAACGGGAAGACCAAUGGUAAGCAUAAAAUCACCGGCAGCGGGGACAGUUGAAAUAGCAAGACGCGCUUUAGGAGCGAAGAGCCAGGUACUCCACGAUUACGAUACGAUUACUGUUCAUCGCUUACUAACACUAUCCUCAGCAAGAUGUCUGCUGCAAAGGGUGUAGCGGUCGGUAUUGACCUGGGGCCGGUUGCACCAACUGGGCGUAAGCCUGGUCGUAACUACGCCUGGUCGUAACUUGGCGUUCUAAAGGCCGAUUUAUGCUCAGUUACGUAAGCGUAAGCGCAAGCGCAAGAGGCCCUUGCGCGCCCUUGCGCACCCCUUGCGCGACUUCUCACGUCUUGCGUGCGUCGGGCGAUCUUUCUAGACUUGCGUCAUUUUUUACGUAAGCUUUUACGUGAGCCGCGCAGCCUGCAAGGCUGUGAUUGGUCUGCUCGUCUGGUUACUACUUCCUGUCUGGAGUAUCACAUUUCCUGUUUUCAUACCGCCACCUUCCACCCUAUCUGGCACAUAAUUAUGCGAACCCUUUAUGCGAACCCUUCCACAGGGGCAAAGUGCUAUUUUGAUGCGCGACAUCAAACAGCUGAUGCGGGAUUGUGAGCCAUUUUAAUGAUCUUGUCACCCGAUAUUCGUUCUAUUAGGCCUACUGGCCUUAUUUGUUUUAGUGUUAGCCUAUUUGAAUUAAUUACCUAAUGUUUUGUGUUCACGUUCUAUGUGAAACAUAAGUUCAGUAGCCUCUUUGAGUGAAUGAAAUUUGAAAGCGUGAGUACUGUGUAGUGAAUGAAAAAUGUGUGCGUGUAUGGUGGGACUAUUUUCUGUAUUUGAUAAAUAAACCCCUUUUCUCUAAUAAUGCUGCCUACCAUAUAAUUUAUGUGGACA
Molecule: long non-coding RNA, 1214 nt
Filed under: Gadus morhua (Atlantic cod)
Lineage: Eukaryota; Metazoa; Chordata; Actinopteri; Gadiformes; Gadidae
Description: lncRNA (ENSGMOG00000022297.1)
Source: RNAcentral